Molecule: ribosomal RNA, 477 nt
Filed under: uncultured bacterium
Lineage: Bacteria
Description: bacterial SSU rRNA
Rfam family: Bacterial small subunit ribosomal RNA
Source: RNAcentral
AAUCAACGCUGGCGGCGUGCCUAACACAUGCAAGUCGAACGAGAAAGUGGAGCAAUCCAUGAGUAAAGUGGCGACCGGGUGAGUAACACGUGACUAACCUACCUUCGAGUGGGGGAUAACCUCGGGAAACCGGGGCUAAUACCGCAUAACAUCUUUGGAGUGGAAAUUUCGGAGAUCAAAGGAGCAAUUCGCUGGAAGAGGGGGUCGCGGCUGAUUAGCUAGUUGGCGGGGUAACGGCCCACCAAGGCUUAGAUCGGUAGCCGGCCUGAGAGGGCGCACGGCCACACUGGAACUGAAACACGGUCCAGACUCCUACGGGAGGCAGCAGUGGGGAAUUUUGCGCAAUGGGGGAAACCCUGACGCAGCAACGCCGCGUGGAGGAUGAAGUCCCUUGGGACGUAAACUCCUUUCGACCCGGACGAUAAUGACGGUACGGGUGGAAGAAGCCCCGGCUAACUUCGUGCCAGCAGCCGCUGU